AGAAUGCUAAUCUUUGUCUCUCCAUGAUUCCCACAUAGCCUGGGUCCUGGAUAGGAUUUAGAUUCCACAGAUACUCUCACAGUGCCAUUUGGCUGUAGAAAAGAACUAAAUGUGAAGAAAAGCAGGAUAUAAAACAUUUAUUUGCUGGCAUGUAUAGAAAUAUAACUGGUGUCAUUCUGCUGUCAGCAUGUCAGAAGAUUUUAGACUUUUCUGCAGUGGUUAUGAAAGCUUUAACCAUGUUACAGGGGCAGACUGAUACUGGAGUUUGAAAGCUACUCUUGGAGACAUGGGCUGCCUACUAUUUUGGCCUUCCAACAAUUUUAUAAGAAACUCAAUAGAUAACGAUAAAUACCUUCAAGCUUAAAAUCGCGAUUAUGAUUUCUGCUGUGCGCAAUGAAACUCUGAGUGAAACAGUCCUCCAGGAUUUUGAAGUCCUCUGCAUCCGGGCAGUGGAACAGAAGUGUGGAGAAGAUUCAUCAUCUGCUUCUUAAAUGCCCUAGUCAGAAAGGGGUACUCAUCAUUUCUGUUCAUAUUUUAUACGGCUACAAAUAGAUGUGAGAAGAGCAAGAAAACAUAGUCCUGGCAAGGCAGUUGCCUUCUGAUGACAACUCUGCACUCUGGAGGUAGACAAAUUUUGGUCAAUAGCUGGCAGUUUUAGCCAUAUUAGUCCAGUACUCACCUUCACAAAUGAGGAAACUUAAGACUCGGCCAUUGUUGAUCUAACACAUACUUACUGUUUUUUAUUGUGUUUUCUUGAUCUAAUGGUAUUUUGAAACACAAUGGGUAGGACUAAAAUAUGGACCAUUUGAAAGGAGGAAAUGUUAGAUUAUUAUACUAGGCAAAUAAUGUUGCCAAUAUAUUUGCACAAUUAUGGGACAUAGACUUUCAUUUUCCUGUUUAAAAUAAGUAUGUAGUAUUAAAGAAUUAACAUAAAAUAUGGCAUUAUUAAGAAGAUCUAUGAUUUUGGUGCCUGGUCCUUAUUUAGGAGUUUAGCACCCUGGUUACAUAUAUCAUAAUAAUGAAAAAGCAUUAUUCUGUUUUAUGCUGCCUGCAGAAAAAAAAAGGAUGAAAAAUAGAUACUGUCUGUGCAGUAUGAGCCACAGUAUAAAUGUGCAGAAUAUGAUCUAAGUGGAGGAUAAUAAAAAUUUUGAAAGCAGUAUUUGCAAAACUUGUUCCAAACUUCCUCAUUAAUCAGCACAAAUAUUUUUCUAAGUAUACAUUGGAAGGCCUUUGCACUUAACUCAAUUAUUGAAGUAGUAGGAAAAUUAUGCUCUACUGUGUAUAAAAUAUUUCUAAGCUAUUCAAAGAAGACACUACAAAGAUAUUUAAAGAAGAUACUAUAAUAUAGAAAAACACUUCAUGCAGAUGUAUCAAUUAUUAGUAUCUCAUCACUGUAUGGCGUUCUUAACUAAGUUGAAAUUGUUUUCAAAUACUGGUUGAAUAAGUGAAGAAGGAAAAUUGUAUUGUGUUAACAGAAAUAUGUGUUCAUUCACCCACCCACUGAACACCUAUUUUGUGCCAGACGUUGUUCUGGACACUAGGGAUCCAGCAGGGAAUAAAAUACAUGAGUUUCCCACUUGCUUAUUUUUCCCUUACUUUACAAACCUGGAACUCUUUAAACAACAAACUGAAAAACACCACACAAAAUUAGGCAGCUAUCUUUGAAGAGUGAAUUUGCUUGGAAUUGCCUGCUUUGAGCAUCAUAAGUUUGAUGAGGUAUGAAGCAAAAAUACAGAUGUACAACAUUAAUUAAAAUAACCAGCAAUUCCACCAGAGGAUUCCAAAAGGGAUUUAAAGACUCACCCUGCCAGAACAGAGACGGAGCCAGAAAAGGGUGAUGAAGCAGAUUUACAAGACCGGCUCUCAGAAAAUUUGCUUGGACAUGCAGAACCAUGCUUUCAAGUACUAUUGUUACCAACGCGAAUCUGCAGCGAAAGUGAUCCUUGCCUCUCUGGAGGACAGAAUUUGGCUGAGGGGCAGAAGUAUGUUUAAGGCAGAGGGAGAGACUGAGGCAAGUUUUAGAGCAAAAGUGAGAGUUUAUUAAAAAGUUUUAGAGCCUGAGUGAAAGGAAGCAAAGCACACUUGGAAGAGGGUCAAGUGGGUUCCUUGAGAGAUCCAAGUGCCCCGUCCAACCUUUGGCUUGGGAUUUUAAUACAUUGGCUUGGUUCCGGGAUUUGAGUUUCUCCUCCCUUGAUUUCUCCCUUGCGGCAGGCUGUCCACAGGCACAGUGGCCCGCCAGCACUUGGGAAGGGGUGCAUACACAGUGUGUUUACUGAAGUUGUGUGCAUGCUCACUUGAGGUGUUUUUCCCCUCAUUAGACAAAAAUUCCCAGAGGAAGGUUAUAUACCAGUUAAACUUUGCCAUUUUGCCUCUUAGUGCAUGCUUGAGCCCACUAGCCCAAUCCCUGAGAUCUUAUCGGGAAGCUGCUGCUCCUCCACAGCUCCAGGAGUUUCCUAUUUAUUGGGAGACUGUCGGUCCCUAGUACCAGCUGUGACCAAUUAUAAUUUCAGAGACACAGUUUAACAACCACCUGACCAUUACCUGAUGGUCCCCUGAAGUUCUCUGGGGUUGGGAGAGGCUCUCCUGCCUGGCUCAUGUCUGCCUAACUACCUACUCUAACAUUAUGACUUGGAGAAAUACUUAUUGGGGACUUUUAAAAAACUGCAGAGUAUCAUAAGACUUUUGGCUAUGAGGAUUUACCAGUUGCAGAAUAAAGAAUUUUAAAAUAAUUUGUCUUUGAAGAUAUUACCUUCUGAUAUAUUGCAAGUAAGGUAUUGAGAAGUCAAUAGGGUUUGGUGCCAGGUUUCUGAUGGAGAAUUUGAAGAUACGUGUUUACAUUUCUAUAAAGUAAAUUUGACUGUCUGAGUCACAUAUAUCUUGGUCAUAAUUCACAAUUAUUAGGAAAUUUGAAAAUAAUUUUUUUAACAAAAGCAAAUUUGAGAAAGUCUAUUUUUAAAGUUGCUAAAAUAAGGGGCUCAGUAUAUUUUUAGUAAUUGGAAGACUGGUUGAUUGAGAAAUACAAAUUUUUCAGUAAAAAUGUAUUUUCUUUCCAAAUAAAAUAAAAAUUUAUGAAAUAUAAUUUCUAAAAAUUUGACAAUUAAGUAUAAAUAUUCUAACUGGGUAUUGGCUUAUAAUUAAUAAAUGUAAUUUAAAUAUG
Long non-coding RNA from Homo sapiens (human), 3157 nucleotides. RefSeq annotates it as long independently transcribed non-coding RNA 2510. The record is from RefSeq and is marked validated. NCBI's taxonomy places the organism in Eukaryota, Metazoa, Chordata, Mammalia, Primates, Hominidae. The transcript has 2 exons.